This 72-nucleotide transfer RNA is filed under the name Hyperolius ocellatus (golden-eyed reed frog). RNAcentral's name for it is "tRNA-Ile". It matches the Rfam family "tRNA". From Rfam's summary of the family: Transfer RNA (tRNA) molecules are approximately 80 nucleotides in length. Their secondary structure includes four short double-helical elements and three loops (D, anti-codon, and T loops). Further hydrogen bonds mediate the characteristic L-shaped molecular structure. tRNAs have two regions of fundamental functional importance: the anti-codon, which is responsible for specific mRNA codon recognition, and the 3' end, to which the tRNAs corresponding amino acid is attached (by aminoacyl-tRNA synthetases). tRNAs cope with the degeneracy of the genetic code in two manners: having more than one tRNA (with a specific anti-codon) for a particular amino acid; and 'wobble' base-pairing, i.e. permitting non-standard base-pairing at the 3rd anti-codon position. The record is from RNAcentral. Lineage: Eukaryota; Metazoa; Chordata; Amphibia; Anura; Hyperoliidae.
GGAAGCGUGCCCGAAAGUUUAGGAUCCUCUUUGAUAGAGAGGCACAUAGGAGUUCAAAUCCCCUCACUUCCU